This 68-nucleotide transfer RNA is filed under the name Meretrix lamarckii (Korean hard clam). RNAcentral's name for it is "tRNA-Cys". The record is from RNAcentral. Lineage: Eukaryota; Metazoa; Mollusca; Bivalvia; Venerida; Veneridae.
AGUCCUGUAGUUUAGUGUGGUAAAAUUUUAAGGUGCAAACUUAAAGAGAGCUUUUGUGCUUUGGACUU